GACGUAGGGCGCGAGCGUUGUCCGGAUUUAUUGGGCGUAAAGAGCUCGUAGGCGGCUCGUUGCGUCGGCUGUGAAAACCCGCGGCUCAACUGUGGGCUUGCAGCUGAUACGGGCGGGCUGGAGUUCGGUAGGGGGGACUGGAAUUCCUGGUGUAGCGGUGAAAUGCGCAGAUAUCAGGAGGAACACCGGUGGCGAAGGCGGGUCUCUGGGCCGAUACUGACGCUGAGGAGCGAAAGCGUGGGGAGCGAACAGG
RNAcentral lists this ribosomal RNA (253 nucleotides) under uncultured bacterium. Its description in RNAcentral is "partial 16S ribosomal RNA". It matches the Rfam family "Bacterial small subunit ribosomal RNA", at positions 524 to 776 of the family's 1533-position model. The record is from RNAcentral.